GAGUUUGAUCGUGGCUCAGAUUGAACGCUGGCGGCAGGCCUAACACAUGCAAGUCGAGCGGUAGAGAGAAGCUUGCUUCUCUUGAGAGCGGCGGACGGGUGAGUAAUGCCUAGGAAUCUGCCUGGUAGUGGGGGAUAACGCUCGGAAACGGACGCUAAUACCGCAUACGUCCUACGGGAGAAAGCAGGGGACCUUCGGGCCUUGCGCUAUCAGAUGAGCCUAGGUCGGAUUAGCUAGUUGGUGAGGUAAUGGCUCACCAAGGCGACGAUCCGUAACUGGUCUGAGAGGAUGAUCAGUCACACUGGAACUGAGACACGGUCCAGACUCCUACGGGAGGCAGCAGUGGGGAAUAUUGGACAAUGGGCGAAAGCCUGAUCCAGCCAUGCCGCGUGUGUGAAGAAGGGUCUUCGGAUUGUAAGGCACUUUAAGUUGGGAGGAAGGGCAGUAAAUUAAUACUUUGCUGUUUUGACGUUACCGACAGAAUAAGCGCCGGCUAACUCUGUGACAGCCGCCG
RNAcentral lists this ribosomal RNA (514 nucleotides) under uncultured bacterium. RNAcentral's name for it is "bacterial SSU rRNA". It matches the Rfam family "Bacterial small subunit ribosomal RNA", at positions 9 to 517 of the family's 1533-position model. The record is from RNAcentral.